UUAUCCAUCAGAGUUUCUUACUUCGAUAAGUGGUUCGUAUAUUGGCGAUGGGUAUUUAUCAACAGGUUUAGAUGCUAUUAAAUUUAAUACCAACAAGGGUUGUUACGGACCAUUUGGGCGUACAGAGCCUACAAGUAGUAGCAAGCGAUUCAACUUUGAAUUACGAAAUCAUCGUCUAUUUGGUGGUUUUCAUGGCACCAUGAGUCGUCAUGCUGUUGAGAGUAUUGGGAUUUAUGUUAAGCCAGUCAUAUCCUCCAUGAAUUACUUGAAAGGAUCUCUUCGAGUUAAGGCUGAAAAAUGAUUGUACUUCCGUUUUACUUUUACCCUAUGCUUGCUGCUGGCUUAUUAUGUAAUGUUUUAUCAUUUAUAUAUGCUGUGUUGUAAAAUAAGUUCCUCGUGGUAAGAUCUUUGUACCGUCUAUGCUUCUCAGAAAUUUACUUGCUAGGUAUGUUAUUGUUCUUCAUACUACCGUCUAUGCUUCUCAGACUUCACUUUGUUAUUGUUGUAUUUAUUGUAAUAUGUUGCCAUACAAUGUACAGAACAUGAAGCUUACAAGUAAUUUAGAUUUGAAAUUCUCUUUUAAGG
Molecule: unclassified non-coding RNA, 585 nt
Filed under: Hevea brasiliensis (rubber tree)
Lineage: Eukaryota; Viridiplantae; Streptophyta; Magnoliopsida; Malpighiales; Euphorbiaceae
Source: RNAcentral